Molecule: non-coding RNA, 28 nt
Filed under: Bombyx mori (domestic silkworm)
Lineage: Eukaryota; Metazoa; Arthropoda; Insecta; Lepidoptera; Bombycidae
Source: RNAcentral
UGGGACAGUAAUGAGCAAGCAAUGGCUG